RNAcentral lists this ribosomal RNA (253 nucleotides) under uncultured bacterium. Its description in RNAcentral is "partial 16S ribosomal RNA". It matches the Rfam family "Bacterial small subunit ribosomal RNA", at positions 524 to 776 of the family's 1533-position model. The record is from RNAcentral.
UACGUAGGGUGCGAGCGUUAAUCGGAAUUACUGGGCGUAAAGCGUGCGCAGGCGGUUUUGUAAGCCAGAUGUGAAAUCCCCGAGCUUAACUUGGGAACUGCAUUUGGGACUGCAAGGCUAGAGUACGGCAGAGGGGGGUAGAAUUCCUGGCGUAGCAGUGAAAUGCGUAGAUAUCAGGAGGAAUACCGAUGGCGAAGGCAGCCCCCUGGGUCGAUACUGACGCUCAUGCACGAAAGCGUGGGGAGCAAACAGG